RNAcentral lists this ribosomal RNA (536 nucleotides) under uncultured Microbacteriaceae bacterium. RNAcentral describes it as "bacterial SSU rRNA". It matches the Rfam family "Bacterial small subunit ribosomal RNA", at positions 96 to 633 of the family's 1533-position model. The record is from RNAcentral. Lineage: Bacteria; Bacillati; Actinomycetota; Actinomycetes; Micrococcales; Microbacteriaceae.
UGGCGAACGGGUGAGUAACACGUGAGUAACCUACCCCCCACUCUGGGAUAAGCGUUGGAAACGACGUCUAAUACCGGAUACGAGCUUCAGCCGCAUGGCUAGGAGCUGGAAAGAAUUUCGGUGGGGGAUGGACUCGCGGCCUAUCAGGUAGUUGGUGAGGUAACGGCUCACCAAGCCGACGACGGGUAGCCGGCCUGAGAGGGUGACCGGCCACACUGGGACUGAGACACGGCCCAGACUCCUACGGGAGGCAGCAGUGGGGAAUAUUGCACAAUGGGCGAAAGCCUGAUGCAGCAACGCCGCGUGAGGGACGUCGGCCUUCGGGUUGUAAACCUCUUUUAGUAGGGAAGAAGCGAUGUGUUUUACACGGAGUGACGGUACCUGCAGAAAAAGCACCGGCUAACUACGUGCCAGCAGCCGCGGUAAUACGUAGGGUGCAAGCGUUGUCCGGAAUUAUUGGGCGUAAAGAGCUCGUAGGCGGUUUGUCGCGUCUGCUGUGAAAACCGGAGGCUCAACCUCCGACCUGCAGUGGGUAC